CGCCCCGCGCCCGUUCCGCCGCCCCCGCCCGCCUACGGGAGGCAGCAGUGGGGAAUAUUGCACAAUGGGCGCAAGCCUGAUGCAGCCAUGCCGCGUGUGUGAAGAAGGCCCUAGGGUUGUAAAGCACUUUCAGCAGUGAGGAAAGGUGUGUACUUAAUACGUGCAUACUGUGACGUUAACUGCAGAAGAAGGACCGGCUAACUCCGUGCCAGCAGCCGCGGUAAUACGGAGGGUCCUAGCGUUAAUCGGAAUUACUGGGCGUAAAGCGCGCGUAGGUGGAUUGGUCAGUCAGAUGUGAAAGCCCAGGGCUCAACCUUGGAACUGCACCUGAUACUGCCAGUCUAGAAUACGGUAGAGGGUAGUGGAAUUUCCUGUGUAGCGGUGAAAUGCGUAGAUAUAGGAAGGAACACCAGUGGCGAAGGCGACUACCUGGACUCGAUAUUGACAGCUGAGGUGCGAAAAGCGUGGGGAGCAAACAGGAUUAGAUACCCUGGUAGUCCACGCCGUAAACGAUGUCUAGCUCAGCCGUUGGGAGAGCUUGAUCUUUUAGUGGCGCAGCUAACGCGAUAA
This 570-nucleotide ribosomal RNA is filed under the name uncultured Oceanospirillales bacterium. Its description in RNAcentral is "bacterial SSU rRNA". It matches the Rfam family "Bacterial small subunit ribosomal RNA", at positions 301 to 863 of the family's 1533-position model. The record is from RNAcentral. Lineage: Bacteria; Pseudomonadati; Pseudomonadota; Gammaproteobacteria; Oceanospirillales.